RNAcentral lists this ribosomal RNA (476 nucleotides) under uncultured bacterium. RNAcentral describes it as "partial 16S ribosomal RNA". It matches the Rfam family "Bacterial small subunit ribosomal RNA", at positions 28 to 523 of the family's 1533-position model. The record is from RNAcentral.
GACGAACGCUGGCGGCGUGCUUAACACAUGCAAGUCGAACGGUGAAAGGGAGCUUGCUCCCUGGAUCAGUGGCGAACGGGUGAGUAACACGUGGGCAACCUGCCCCAGACUUCGGGAUAACGCUUCGAAAGAGGUGCUAAUACCGGAUACGAACUCCUUGGGCAUCCUGGGAGUUGGAAAGUUUUUCGGUCUGGGAUGGGCCCGCGGCCUAUCAGCUUGUUGGUGAGGUAACGGCUCACCAAGGCGACGACGGGUAGCCGGCCUGAGAGGGCGACCGGCCACACUGGGACUGAGACACGGCCCAGACUCCUACGGGAGGCAGCAGUGGGGAAUAUUGCGCAAUGGGCGGAAGCCUGAUCCAGCCAUGCCGCGUGAGUGAUGACGGCCUUCGGGUUGUAAAGCUCUUUUGUCCGGGAAGAUAAUGACUGUACCGGAAGAAUAAGCCCCGGCAAACUUCGUGCCAGCAGCCGCGGUAA